Molecule: long non-coding RNA, 213 nt
Filed under: Monodelphis domestica (gray short-tailed opossum)
Lineage: Eukaryota; Metazoa; Chordata; Mammalia; Didelphimorphia; Didelphidae
Description: lncRNA (ENSMODG00000045419.1)
Source: RNAcentral
AGAAAAAAAAGAAAGAAAGAAAGAAAGAAAGAAAGAAAGAAAGAAAGGAAGGAAGGAAGGAAGGAAGGAAAAAGGGAAGAAAGAAAGAAAGAAAGGAAGGAAGGAAGGAAAGAAAGAAAGAAAGAAAGAACAGAAAGAAAGAAAGAAAGAAAGAAAGAAAGAAAGAAAGGAAGGAAGGAAGGAAGGAAGGAAGGAAGGAAGGAAGGAAGGAAG